RNAcentral lists this ribosomal RNA (484 nucleotides) under uncultured bacterium. RNAcentral describes it as "partial 16S ribosomal RNA". It matches the Rfam family "Bacterial small subunit ribosomal RNA", at positions 30 to 507 of the family's 1533-position model. The record is from RNAcentral.
AUUGAACGCUGGCGGAAUGCUUUACACAUGCAAGUCGAACGGCAGCACGGGGGCAACCCUGGUGGCGAGUGGCGAACGGGUGAGUAAUACGUCGGAACGUGCCCGGUCGUGGGGGAUAACGUAGCGAAAGUUACGCUAAUACCGCAUACGAUCUGAGGAUGAAAGCGGGGGACCUUCGGGCCUCGCGCGAUCGGAGCGGCCGAUGUCAGAUUAGGUAGUUGGUGGGGUAAAGGCCUACCAAGCCGACGAUCUGUAGCUGGUCUGAGAGGACGACCAGCCACACUGGGACUGAGACACGGCCCAGACUCCUACGGGAGGCAGCAGUGGGGAAUUUUGGACAAUGGGCGCAAGCCUGAUCCAGCCAUUCCGCGUGCAGGACGAAGGCCUUCGGGUUGUAAACUGCUUUUGUAUGGAACGAAAAGGCUCUGGCUAAUACCUGGGGCUCAUGACGGUACCGUAAGAAUAAGCACCGGCUAACUACGUG